Molecule: ribosomal RNA, 594 nt
Filed under: Fusarium cf. solani NK-2013
Lineage: Eukaryota; Fungi; Ascomycota; Sordariomycetes; Hypocreales; Nectriaceae
Description: eukaryotic LSU rRNA
Rfam family: Eukaryotic large subunit ribosomal RNA
Source: RNAcentral
UAAGCGGAGGAAAAGAAACCAACAGGGAUUGCCCCAGUAACGGCGAGUGAAGCGGCAACAGCUCAAAUUUGAAAUCUGGCUCUCGGGCCCGAGUUGUAAUUUGUAGAGGAUGCUUUUGGUGAGGUGCCUUCCGAGUUCCCUGGAACGGGACGCCAUAGAGGGUGAGAGCCCCGUCUGGUUGGACACCGAUCCUCUGUAAAGCUCCUUCGACGAGUCGAGUAGUUUGGGAAUGCUGCUCUAAAUGGGAGGUAUAUGUCUUCUAAAGCUAAAUACCGGCCAGAGACCGAUAGCGCACAAGUAGAGUGAUCGAAAGAUGAAAAGAACUUUGAAAAGAGAGUUAAAAAGUACGUGAAAUUGUUGAAAGGGAAGCGCUUGUGACCAGACUUGGGCUUGGUUGAUCAUCCGGGGUUCUCCCCGGUGCACUCUUCCGGCUCAGGCCAGCAUCAGUUCGCCCUGGGGGAUAAAGGCUUCGGGAAUGUGGCUCUCUCCGGGGAGUGUUAUAGCCCGCUGCGUAAUACCCUGUGGCGGACUGAGGUUCGCGCAUUCGCAAGGAUGCUGGCGUAAUGGUCAUCAGUGACCCGUCUUGAAAACACG